AUGGUGCAGUUCGCAGCAGCAGACCUCCGCCAAGUUAUGGACAAGAAAAAUAACAUUCGUAACAUGUCUGUGGUUGCUCAUGUGAACCAUGGCAAGUCCACGCUUAUAGAUUCUCUUGUCAUAGCUGCUGGGAUUGUUAGACAGGAGGCUGGUGAUGUUCCCAUGACUGAGACCCGUGUAGAUGAAGCAGAGCGUCGUAUUUCCAUCAAAGCCACCGGAAUCUCUCUUUUGUAUGAAAUGAAUGACGAGUCACUCAAGGCUCACAAGGUCACAGCUGCUCUUCGUAUUUCUGAUGGUGCUCUGGUGGUAAUUGAUUCUAUCGAGGGUGUCUGUGUGCAAACUGAAAGUGUGCUGUGCCAAGCUCUUGGUGAGAUGGUUAGGCCUGUACUUUGUCUGAAUAAGAUGGACGAAUUAUUUCCUGGGCUUCAAGGUGAAGUUGUGAAGCAUAAAUUUACAGGUGAGCAAACAUACCAGAUUCUGAACAAUGCCAUUCAGAAUGCCAAUACCAUUGUGGCAACACAUGGAGACGCCCGCCUUGGAGAUGUCCAGUUCUACCCUGAGAAGGGAAAUGUGACAUUCUCUGCUGGAUUACACGGCUGGGCUUUUACGCUGACUAGCUUUGCUAAGGUGUAUGCUCCGAAGGUGGGUGUGGAAGAAUCUUAUAUGGUUAAGAAGCUUUGGGGCGACAACUUUUAUGACCACACCACAAGGAGAUGGACCAAGGAGAAGACCCGUUCCAAAACUUGUAAAAGAGGAUUUGUCUUGUUCAUCUAUGAUCAAAUCGAGAGAAUGAUCCAAGCCUGCAUGGAGAAUCAGAAAGAUGAAUUGUGGAGAAUGUUGCAGAAGGUUGGGGUGAACUUGAGGGAUGAUGAGAAGAACCUAACAGGCAUGGCUCUUGUGAAGUGUGUCAUGCAAACUUGGCUCCCAGCCAGUACUGCUCUGCUUGAGAUGAUGAUCUUCCACCUCCCCUCUCCAUUACAAGCACAGAAAUAUCGUGUGGAGAACCUGUAUGAGGGCCCCCUUGAUGAUAAAUACGCAGAAGCUAUUAAAAAUUGUGAUCCUGAAGGUCCUCUUAUUCUGUACGUUUCCAAGAUGGUCCCAGCAUCUGAUGUGGGCAGCUUCUUCGCGUUUGGUCGUGUCUUCUCUGGAAGGAUUGCAGCUGGCAUGAAGGUCCGGGUCAUGGGGCCUUCCUAUGUCCCCGGCAUGCAACUGAUUUAUACGUGGAGUCUGUCCAGCGUACCAUUAUAUGGAUGGGAAAGAAGCAAUGUGACGUUCCGGAUGUUCCUUGCGGUUCCGUCUGAGUCUCCCAAACUUGUACAAGGUUUGAAGCGUCUGGCGAUGUCUGAUCAUGUGGUUCUGUGGAGCCAGGUAGAGCCUGGUACCUUUACGGUUGCUGGAGUGGGAGAGCUUCAUUUGGAAAUUUGCUUGAAGGAUCUACAGGAAGACUUUAUGGAUGGUGUUGAAGUUGUUGUUUCCAGUCCGCCUGUUGUUUCCUUCCGUGAGACUGUCCGCAAGUCUUGUGAUCCUGUGGAGAGGAAGUCCAGAAACAAGCAAAUCCAAUGCAGCUUGUCUGUGGUAGCCCGCCCCUUGGAUGAAAACCUAGUCGAGGCUAUUGAAGAUGGUCGCUUGGGUCCAUGUACUGACCAUGCGGUACGAUCUGAGAUCCUUGCUAAGCAUGGUUGGGAUAAGGAUCUCGGUGAUAAGAUUUGGUGCUUUGGUCCUGAUGCUGUUGGCCCGAAUGUGAUUGUUAAUAGGUGCAAUAUAAUACAGAAUCUGGAGUUAGCGAAGAAAGUUAUCGUGGCUGGCUUUGAAAUGGUGGCAAAAGAAGGCGCAUUGGCAAAAGAAAAGUUGCAUGGCAUAUGCUUUGAGGUUCAUAAUGUUAAUAUACGUGCUGAUGAAGCUGUGAGAGGUACAACUGCUCAGCUCAAUGAGAUGGUUAGGACAGCACUUAUCGAGUCUCAGCUCGCCGCCAAGCCAAGGCUUCUCGAACCCACCUACAUUGUGGCGAUCCAGUGCCCUAAGAGUGCCCUCAGCACUAUCUACGGAAUUCUCCACCAGAGGAAUGGUUCUGUGUAUGAGGAGUUUGUGAGAGAAGGCACGAUGCUACACAUCCUGAAGGCUUACGUUCCAGUUUAUGAUUCCUUUGGCCUCUCCAAGGCAAUCAGUGCUGCAACAUCUAAGCUGGUCACCCCGCAGUGUAUUUUUGGAUAUUGGAGCGACAUGUGCUCUGAUCCUUUCCAGGCAAAUGCGCCAGCUGGGCAAAUGGUCUUGGAUAUCCGCAAGAGGAAGAAGAUGGGCAGGCCCUCUUUCCAGAAUCACAGACGUGCACUAGCAAACUGUUUAGUGCUACUGCUCGAAGCCGACUUUGCUGGUAGAGCAAGGCAGCUCGGUUGCUCAUCCAUAGUAUGUGAUAUGAUGUCGUGUCUGAUUCGGAUUCUGUGGUUUCCCCCUUUGCAGUGCGCUCUUCUCGUUGCUAGUAUGCAGUGCUGGGGUUCGCUUCACUUGAUCGAUCGUCGACGGCAUCUAUCACCCCCUGAAGGGAACGGAGGGGCUUCUGCUCCCCCUAGCGAGGUGGAUAGGUCUAAUGAAAUGUACCUGAUAGUUGUAGAGGAUUUUGCUGCUCUACAUCUCCUUCCUUAUCGACUGCCCUACUCUUUGCUGAAUACUAGUGUAACAUGCCAUGUGGCAAACCCGCUUACAGACGCCGUUGCUCUGCAAGUGCUAGCUGUAGAGGAUUUUGCAUGCUGCUCUACAUCUCCUGAUGGACUGCCCUAG
Molecule: ribosomal RNA, 2775 nt
Filed under: Triticum aestivum (bread wheat)
Lineage: Eukaryota; Viridiplantae; Streptophyta; Magnoliopsida; Poales; Poaceae
Description: partial small subunit ribosomal RNA
Source: RNAcentral